UUCCAAUCAAAAGAUAGAUCGUCUUCUUCUCCUCCUUCCCACCAAAGUGAUUUGUGAUUUGAGCAAGUUUUGAGCAAUCCCCGUGAUCUUGUUACUCUUGGAGGUUGGAGACUCCUAGGCGGUAGGAGUCUUCGGAGAGGAAUCAAACCAUUGUGAUUUCCCCCGGAAAGUUUGUGAAGGUUUGGAAGCCACCUCAAGGUUUACCACUAGUGGUUGAGAAAUGCCUUCGUGGAG
RNAcentral lists this long non-coding RNA (234 nucleotides) under Hordeum vulgare. Its description in RNAcentral is "long non-coding RNA (HVUL_LNC015450)". Lineage: Eukaryota; Viridiplantae; Streptophyta; Magnoliopsida; Poales; Poaceae. The record is from RNAcentral.